This 67-nucleotide transfer RNA is filed under the name Varanus komodoensis (Komodo dragon). RNAcentral describes it as "tRNA-Val". The record is from RNAcentral. Lineage: Eukaryota; Metazoa; Chordata; Lepidosauria; Squamata; Varanidae.
CAAAAAGUAGCUUACACCCAAAGCACUUGACCUACAACCAAGAGACGCUACACUCUAGCCUUUUUGA